This 429-nucleotide ribosomal RNA is filed under the name Chloroflexota bacterium. RNAcentral describes it as "Chloroflexi bacterium partial 16S ribosomal RNA". It matches the Rfam family "Bacterial small subunit ribosomal RNA", at positions 355 to 776 of the family's 1533-position model. The record is from RNAcentral. Lineage: Bacteria; Bacillati; Chloroflexota.
UGGGGAAUAUUGCACAAUGGGCGCAAGCCUGAUGCAGCCAUGCCGCGUGUAUGAAGAAUGCCUUCGGGUUGUAAAGUACUUUCAGCGGGGAGGAAGGGAGUAAAGUUAAUACCUUUGCUCAUUGACGUUACCCGCAGAAGAAGCACCGGCUAACUCCGUGCCAGCAGCCGCGGUAAUACGGAGGGUGCAAGCGUUAAUCGGAAUUACUGGGCGUAAAGCGCACGCAGGCGGUUUGUUAAGUCAGAUGUGAAAUCCCCGGGCUCAACCUGGGAACUGCAUCUGAUACUGGCAAGCUUGAGUCUCGUAGAGGGGGGUAGAAUUCCAGGUGUAGCGGUGAAAUGCAUAGAGAUCUGGAGGAAUACCGGUGGCGAAGGCGGCCCCCUGGACGAAGACUGACGCUCAGGUGCGAAAGCGUGGGGAGCAAACAGG